GAUGAACGCUCGCGGCAGGCCUAAUACAUGCAAGUCGGACGGGAUCCAUUGAUAGCUUGCUAUCAAUGGUGAGAGUGGCGCACGGGUGCGUAACGCGUGAGCAACCUGCCUCCAUCAGGGGGAUAGCCUCUCGAAAGAGAGAUUAACACCGCAUAAUAUCAACAGUUCGCAUGUUCAGUUGAUUAAAUAUUUAUAGGAUGGAGAUUGGCUCGCGUGACAUUAGCUAGUUGGUAGGGUAACGGCUUACCAAGGCGACGAUGUCUAGGGGCUCUGAGAGGAGAAUCCCCCACACUGGUACUGGGACACGGACCAGACUCCUACGGGAGGCAGCAGUAAGGAAUAUUGGUCAAUGGGAGGAAGCCUGAACCAGCCAUGCCGCGUGCAGGAUGACUGCCCUAUGGGUUGUAAACUGCUUUUGUCCAGGAAUAAACCUAAAUACGAGUAUUUAGCUGAAUGUACUGGAAGAAUAAGGAUCGGCUAACUCCGUG
RNAcentral lists this ribosomal RNA (488 nucleotides) under uncultured bacterium. Its description in RNAcentral is "partial 16S ribosomal RNA". It matches the Rfam family "Bacterial small subunit ribosomal RNA", at positions 28 to 507 of the family's 1533-position model. The record is from RNAcentral.